UCCAGAAAGCAUAAUUAAUAAUGUGUCAGGUUUAGGUCUUGGCGAUGAGGUGUUCCUCUCUGGAAUU
Molecule: transfer RNA, 67 nt
Filed under: Lucinella divaricata
Lineage: Eukaryota; Metazoa; Mollusca; Bivalvia; Lucinida; Lucinidae
Description: tRNA-Leu
Source: RNAcentral